AACGCAAAUGGCACUGUCACGUCAAGUGAUAGUAUGCCUGUUUGAGAACCACAAAAGCAAUCACCAUUAGUUAAUGGUGGAUCUGUCCAGGGAAGAAGAUAAAACUCUCUGGACCAAAUUGAUGCUGUGCAAGAGUAUAUGAGCACUAUGUGUGAUAGUUAUUCACAUGGAGCCAAUACAAUAAUCUGCCGGUCAGUAACUGUUGUUGUUGUGUGAUACUAUUGUGUGUGCACGUGCUUUGGUGUGUGUGUACACACAAUACAUUAUCAUCAUCAUCAUCAUCCUCAUAUAUAUAUGGUCUCAAAUCAGGCAAGGCUACCCGCUGAACUUAA
RNAcentral lists this unclassified non-coding RNA (332 nucleotides) under Tomentella sp. RNAcentral's name for it is "partial contains 5.8S ribosomal RNA, internal transcribed spacer 2, and large subunit ribosomal RNA". Lineage: Eukaryota; Fungi; Basidiomycota; Agaricomycetes; Thelephorales; Thelephoraceae. The record is from RNAcentral.